CCGCAUUAAUUGCGAUGGGUAUAUAAGGGGAAACCGUUCGUGGUUUCCCCUCACUUGUUCGAAAAUUCAAAAAAUUUGCCGUUUGAGAGAGAAACUGUUAUCUGUCUUCUCCGACUAUUUUUUUCUGAAAUUCCGGUGAGGUUGCUGGUUUUUCCGUUCACCAUCUUUCGUUUCUUGAAUAUUUUUGAUGGCUGAACCAUCGAAUCCACACAAUGUGGAGGGUGAAAACCCUGAACAGCCGGUAAUGGCUGAAGGAGAAGAAGAGGGGGUUGCCGGUGGUGGAUUACCGGCGUUGAAGUGGACCAAGAAGUCUUUUGACAAUCUUAUGCUUACUGUCCAAAUGCCCCCUGAAUAUGGGGCUCAGUAUCCAUCGGAGGGUGAUACUGGUGCCGACGCUCCGGCCGGUUAUGUGACCAUGUGGGCCGACUUUUUUGGUGACUGUAAUCUUCGGUUACCGUUGACGGUGUUUGUUGUGGAUGUCUUGGAGUGGUACAAGGUCCACAUUUCUCAAAUGAGUCCGCUUGGGAUGAUUCGGAUUCGUAAUUUUGAGUUCACCUUCCGUGCUCUUGGUAUAGAGCCUACCGUCGGAGAUUUCCGACGGUUUUAUCAGAUGACUGUAUCAUUGGGGUUCUUUUCUUUCCGUCAACGAGACGGUACCCCCAAGCUGAUGACUCCCCCCAAGGGGAUGACGAUGUGGAAAAAGAAAUUCUUCUACAUCAAAGCUGCUGCCAUUGUUGCAGAUAUGACGUUUCGGAAUGUGACCGAGACGAUCAUCGCGGAGACCAUUGCGGUCCCUAGCUCGAAGUCAGUGGAAUGGUUUCCUCAGUUGCAGACCAUUGAGACCGUGAAGCUGACCAAUACGCAACUAUGGCUGUUGCGUAUGAUGCUGAGGAGGAGCAAGAACUCGAAACCCGUGGUGCGGGAGAAGAGCGGUGAAAAUGCUCCUGCAUGGAGGAUGUUUGCCCCGGAUUUCCUGGGUACGGUUGAGACCGUGGUUUGUGCGGAUGGUGAAGAGGAUCACAAUACUAUCAUCCGUAGUAACUUCCGGGUGCCUACUGAGGCUGCACUGGUAGUUGAGUUGCCGUCAGGCAAAGGUAUAAUAUCCAAGCUUUGUCACUUGUGUUGAUAAUGUUGGUUUAUUGACGUAUUGACUCCAUGCAGGUGAUCUUGGGGCCUUGGGGGACCCCGAAGCGAAAGGUGUGCCAAAGAGGCAAACUGUGAAGGGCGUGCGCUUUCGCCAAAAGAAGAUAAAGGAGGUCACUACUGUGCCUCAUCUGGUGCCGCAGGCAGCAGGUAUCUCUCACUACUCUUUUCGUCGACACAAGGAUUAUGUGAUAGUAUCUGAUACCCUUGAGGGUUUGGGUACAGCUGCGGUGUCGCGUUCUGGUGCUGCGAAGAGGCAGUCAGAAGAGACUUCCGCGGGAGGGACAGCUGCGGGUCCCCCUGCAGUUGGUGAGAAGAGAGGGCCAGAGCAGAAAGCUGCUGGUGGUGUUGAGAGCAAACGUCGGAGACUGGUGACCAAAAGGUCUGCUCCGACGCAGAAAAAACCUGCGGUUGUCGUUGGUAAGUGUAGGCUAUCUAGUCUUAACUGUUGUGUAACUAGUUUUGAUAGCUAUUUGACUGUUUUGCAGAGCCUCAAGAUGAAGAUUUUUCUAUCUUCGAUGCUCCGUAAUCCCCCCCGCGUGCCACGGGUGCGGGUGCAACGGAGGUGCCGUCGACACCUCCCGUCAAGGUGGUACCUGAGUCAACCGUGCAGAAGGAGGGUACCGCAGAGAAUGCUGCGGCCCAGAUAUUUGAUACUGUCGACUCGUCCAACAAUCUGAUCUCUCCCAAUGAGGGAGACGAUUUGAGUGUGCGGUUCACUGCUACUGGGAAGCAACAUUCUGAUGCUGAACCGCAAAAAACUGGCGCUGAAGCGCGGCAGCAUGAUGCUGAGCCGCAGAAGUCUUCGGUUGAUAAGGGUACCGGCUCGUCUGCCGGUGGUGCGGGGUAUGACGGGCCUCCAAUUCAGCCUGGGGAGUCUGAAUUGGAGUAUUACUACCGCACUUAUUCCCCGGGUCGCAGUAUGGUAUAUCACCGACCCCCCUGGACUGUUAUGCAGGGGGAUGAUAUUUCGAAUGAUCCUGCGGCCUGUAAGGAGAUUUUGGGUGGUCUGGGGACCCCCUUUGAAGUUGAGCGCGCCCGUGCCGCACCUCGAGAGUUGCGUAUAAACUAGCUCUCAACAAUGUUGGUAGGGACUUUCAUUGUGGCGAAUGCCAUUUUGGAAGACUAUAAAGUGCUGGGUCGGCGCGAGGAAGAUGCUGCUCGUAUGCGGGCAGAAGCGGAAAAGCUGGUCCAGGCUGCCCGUGCGGGUGCGGAGCAGCUAGAGAAAGACAAAGCUGCUUUUGAGAAGCAGAAGCAGACUGCUAAGUGGGCUGCCACUGCCCAGCUGAAACAGGUGCGUACCCUUGCUAAACUCCUUGCUGAUGAGCGCAAGAGUUGGAACGAAAAGUUGUCCAAUGAGCGCAAGAAAUGGAAUGAAUCUUGGGCUAAGCAGAAUAACGUUCUGUUUCAUACUCGGCAGGAGUUGGCGAAUGUCAAGGCGGCAAAUGUUGCCUUGGGCAGCGAGAAAGCUGCGGCUGAGGCCAUUUCUGUUAAAGCGCUGCAGGCGAAGGCCGACGCCUUGAAGGCGCUUGAAGAGGCCAAAGAAGCCGGGGCUCGUGCCUCAAAGGCCCUUGAAGAGGCCGCGGAGAAGGAGAGCCGUUCUUCCAAGGCUCUGGGAGAGGCGAAUGCGGAACGCAUUCGUUUGGAUAAGGUUGUUUCCAGCCUUCAGGCUGAGGUUCAGACCCGGGAGGUCGCGGUUACGGACCUUACUGCCCGCGUGUCUGGUGCGGAGAAGCGGGCGGACGCUGCUGCUGAGGCCAAGGAUGCCUUGGUGUCCUCUUUUAACCAACUGUAAGCUGACCGUGAGUGGUUGCGGACUCACGGCAUCGCGCGUAUUGUCGAGGCUAUAAUGAAUGCCCCUGAGACCUCAUCUGGAUUGGACCUGGUCAAGGAACGUGCGCGCGAUGCUGGCUUCAAGGCUGGUUAUAACCGCUGCAUUGGGCAUAUCAAUGUAUUAUCCGCAGGCGGUUAUACUGAUCAGGCAUCCGGGUUCCGUGAUGUGGAUACCGAAGGUCGUCUGAAAGCGGCCGUAGCCUCCUUUUAUGAUACGCCCCUUGCCUGUGUAGGGGAGCUGGACGAGUGUUUGGAGGUUGCGGACUAUGUUGACCGGUUGCGGAUGCUUUAUCCUGAUGUGGAAGAGGAAGAACCCGCUGGUGGUGCCGGAGGAGACGCGGGUACCAGCGGUACAAAAUAGGGUUUAGGUUGGCGAGUGUGCCUCCUUUUUGUAUUCCUCUUGUAUAGAAUAGGAACUUUAUGUAAAUUCAGUAAGCAUCAUGUGGAUACUCGAAUUUUUUGAAUAUAAAGUUUCUUUGUUCA
RNA transcript from Helianthus annuus (common sunflower), 3459 nucleotides. RefSeq lists it as uncharacterized. Lineage: Eukaryota; Viridiplantae; Streptophyta; Magnoliopsida; Asterales; Asteraceae. The transcript is spliced from 4 exons. The record is from RefSeq and is a predicted model, not a curated record.